Molecule: ribosomal RNA, 195 nt
Filed under: uncultured bacterium
Lineage: Bacteria
Description: partial 16S ribosomal RNA
Rfam family: Bacterial small subunit ribosomal RNA
Source: RNAcentral
GAAACUCGCCUACAUGAAGCUGGAGUUGCUAGUAAUCGCGAAUCAGCAUGUCGCGGUGAAUACGUUCCCGGGCCUUGUACACACCGCCCGUCACACCAUGAGAGUUGGCAAUACCCAACGUACGUGAUCUAACCCGCAAGGGAGGAAGCGUCCUAAGGUAGGGUCAGCGAUUGGGUGAAGUCGUAACAAGGUAGC